GCGGGAAUAACUGAUCAAGUUGUCUUUCAAUCUUCCAUAUACCAGAACUACCAGCAACAAGAUAAAGGCUGUUGUUGUCAGACCGUAUACAGACUGAAAAUGCAAUACAAUCUAACUUUAAAUGUAUAACCUUUGCAAAUACAGCUGUUCCUUUAAAUGUCAGCAAGUAGAUGACUAUCCACGUGGCUAACAGACAGAGCAGAAGAUACCAUACCAAGUGACCAGGCUCAGCAAUACCAUCUGAUCUCUGCAAAAACUUCUCGCUGAAACAAAUAAGUGUCACGAACAAUUCUGGUGAUCCAAUUGAUGCAUAUAAGUUCAUGUAUAUUUUAGUAUGCAAGUGGUCGUGUUACAAUAUGAAAAAAAGGAAUUUCAAACCUGGAAUGAUUACCGAAAUGUAAAUGUUUCAACCAAGGACCAAGAAGAGGAUAAUGGAAAUAUCUAC
This is a long non-coding RNA of Mytilus trossulus (common blue mussel), 445 nucleotides long. RefSeq lists it as uncharacterized. Lineage: Eukaryota; Metazoa; Mollusca; Bivalvia; Mytilida; Mytilidae. The record is from RefSeq and is a predicted model, not a curated record. The transcript is spliced from 4 exons.